UAUUACCUGGUGCUUGGUGUAGUGCUUCAAGUUUGCCGCCUGCACCGCGAAGAUUGCUUGAAGCUGUGGUGGAGGUAGGCUGGCAAGCCCUUGUGCGUCGGUGUUGUCAUGUCUCCGCCCCUGCGUCGGCGCAUAGUUGCGCCGUGGGGGGGAACGCGUUCGGUCACGGCGUACCGCUCCGGCACGCGUCCAGUAGUCGGAGUCGAUGUGCCGCCCCUG
RNAcentral lists this long non-coding RNA (219 nucleotides) under Setaria italica (foxtail millet). RNAcentral describes it as "long non-coding RNA (SITA_LNC006291)". The record is from RNAcentral. Lineage: Eukaryota; Viridiplantae; Streptophyta; Magnoliopsida; Poales; Poaceae.